This 71-nucleotide transfer RNA is filed under the name Amorphophallus coaetaneus. RNAcentral's name for it is "tRNA-Gln". It matches the Rfam family "tRNA". From Rfam's summary of the family: Transfer RNA (tRNA) molecules are approximately 80 nucleotides in length. Lineage: Eukaryota; Viridiplantae; Streptophyta; Magnoliopsida; Alismatales; Araceae. The record is from RNAcentral.
UGGGACGUGGCCGAGCGGUAAGGCGGCGGGUUUUGGUCCCGCUACUCGAGGGUUCGAAUCCUUCCGUCCCA